RNAcentral lists this small RNA (193 nucleotides) under Pseudomonas sp. M30-35. RNAcentral's name for it is "RgsA sRNA". It matches the Rfam family "RgsA sRNA". Rfam says of the family: P16 sRNA appears to be conserved across several Pseudomonas species and Azotobacter vinelandii. In these species it is consistently located downstream of a predicted TatD deoxyribonuclease gene. P16 has a predicted Rho independent terminator at the 3' end but the function of P16 is unknown. The record is from Rfam by way of RNAcentral. Lineage: Bacteria; Pseudomonadati; Pseudomonadota; Gammaproteobacteria; Pseudomonadales; Pseudomonadaceae.
GAGCAGUAGGUGCGGUAUUCCAAAUACGUUUAAAAACCCGCGAUAUAGUGCUGGACGAUCGGAAAAGUUGACCAAUACUCAUAAGUACUGGCGCGGCAUCUCCCCCCAAGUGACUCGCCAGCGAAGGUACCGUGGACCGCGUACCUUGAUUACUCCUAAUGGUCUUAACCCGGAUUCACCCCCCAGAACCCGG